UACGGGGGGGGCAAGCGUUGUUCGGAAUUACUGGGCGUAAAGGGCGCGUAGGCGGCCUUCUAAGUCGGACGUGAAAUCCCUCGGCUUAACCGAGGAACUGCGUCCGAGACUGAAAGGCUUGAAUCCGGGAGAGGGAUGUGGAAUUCCAGGUGUAGCGGUGAAAUGCGUAGAUAUCUGGAGGAACACCGGUGGCGAAGGCGGCAUCCUGGACCGGCAUUGACGCUGAGGCGCGAAAGCUAGGGGAGCAAACAGG
This 253-nucleotide ribosomal RNA is filed under the name uncultured bacterium. RNAcentral's name for it is "partial 16S ribosomal RNA". It matches the Rfam family "Bacterial small subunit ribosomal RNA", at positions 524 to 776 of the family's 1533-position model. The record is from RNAcentral.